AACAGGAUUAGAUACCCUGGUAGUCCACGCCGUAAACGAUGUCGACUUGGAGGUUGUGCCCUUGAGGCGUGGCCUCCGGAGCUAACGCGUUAAGUCGACCGCCUGGGGAGUACGGCCGCAAGGUUAAAACUCAGAUGAAUUGACGGGGGCCCGCACAAGCGGUGGAGCAUGUGGUUUAAUUCGAUGCAACGCGAAGAACCUUACCUGGUCUUGACAUCCACGGAAGUUUUCAGAGAUGAGAAUGUGCCUUCGGGAACCGUGAGACAGGUGCUGCAUGGCUGUCGUCAGCUCGUGUUGUGAAAUGUUGGGUUAAGUCCCGCAACGAGCGCAACCCUUAUCCUUUGUUGCCAGCGGUCCGGCCGGGAACUCAAAGGAGACUGCCAGUGAUAAACUGGAGGAAGGUGGGGAUGACGUCAAGUCAUCAUGGCCCUUACGACCAGGGCUACACACGUGCUACAAUGGCGCAUACAAAGAGAAGCGACCUCGCGAGAGCAAGCGGACCUCAUAAAGUGCGUCGUAGUCCGGAUUGGAGUCUGCAACUCGACUCCAUGAAGUCGGAAUCGCUAGUAAUCGUGGAUCAGAAUGCUACGGUGAAUACGUUCCCGGGCCUUGUACACACCGCCCGUCACACCAUGGGAGUGGGUUGCAAAAGAAGUAGGUAGCUUAACCUUCGGGAGGGCGCUUACCACUUUGUGAUUCAUGACUGGGGUGAAGUCGUAACAAGGUAACC
Molecule: ribosomal RNA, 730 nt
Filed under: uncultured bacterium
Lineage: Bacteria
Description: bacterial SSU rRNA
Rfam family: Bacterial small subunit ribosomal RNA
Source: RNAcentral